This is a long non-coding RNA of Panicum virgatum (switchgrass), 1819 nucleotides long. RefSeq lists it as uncharacterized. NCBI's taxonomy places the organism in Eukaryota, Viridiplantae, Streptophyta, Magnoliopsida, Poales, Poaceae. The transcript is spliced from 4 exons. The record is from RefSeq and is a predicted model, not a curated record.
CUAAACAAGUGUGUUACUACUAUAAAUCUGUUGCCAUGCUCUUGGCACUGCAGCUAUAACUUCUGGUAUUGAUUUGAUGUUGAACUAAUUAUCUGUUAAAAGAAGCUGGAAUCAAGAAAGAUUUCUGAAUGGAAGUCGCCUGUUUAAACUGUCUAUGGUUAAAGAAGUAUGCUUUAUUCAUCUAAUAACAUUUGCUGCAUCUGUAAGGAUUACAAACAAUAGGAACACAUUAUAUCAUACUUUAUGACACUGAUAUUAUUUUUCAAAAAGAAUGUGUAGAGUAGUAUUGAGAGAAGUAUAUCAUGUCCUAAUCUACCAAUCAUUCAUUCUAGGCUUGCUUUUUUUUGUUCCUAGCAAUGGUAUUCGAAUAUAUUGUGCAGCAAUAUAUCCCCCUCUGAUUAACUUAUAUGGUUUCUUCUUUACUUGCUGGGUGUACACCGGUUCAGUAAUGGGGUGGACUUUGCCAUCGCUAGGUUGGUGAUGCUGGGAGACAACACAUUCAUUUUGCUGGUCGUGAAGCUAAUAAGAUGUCUAAGUCCAUUGAGCAAAAGUUGUGUACAACAUACAAGUGUUGGUGGGACUGAUCAUGGCUCUAUAAGAGUAGGCACUUACAUGGGCCACAAGAUGAUCAAGUGUGCUGCAUCUAACCUACUUUCAGAAGUGUUGCUCUCAUGUACGUCUAUGCAAUCAAGCAACUCGAAUCCUGAUGGACCUUCUGAAGUCUGAUGCAUCGAUCGAGUAUUUAUGCAACCUCUCACCAUAUAGGUCUCACUCACCUUAUUAAAAUGGACAAAACACCAUGUUUCAUGUUCUGCAGUUUCUUAUGGCUAUAUUUCUACUUCACAAAAGAUAUUCCAGAGACUAUAACUGGUGUUGCAUGUUUGGACAAGUAUGGAGCUCACAAUGAUGCGGUGUGUCAAGGCUCCUACUAGGCAUUUCAUAUAGGAGAAUUUUUUAGUUGAGGGAUUGGGUCGACAACCUCCAAGCAAGGGAAUGUCCGUGAGAUUGAGAUUUCAGACACAGUGGGCUCAUCUACUAGGCAUUUGUGCAAUAUCAGCCUGCCACUUACCGGUAAUUUCAGUCUUCUUAUCUACUUAAUCCAUUGAAGCCACGUGAUACGGUUAUGCUGAAGUAAUUAUUAGGCCCAAAGUUGUACUUGUUUCCUUACCCUUUGAGCUACAAUCCCUUAAUUUUUUGUUUACAUUCUUGAACAUGGAAAAUGCAUUGUUUUUAACCAGAAUUAUUAACCAGUAAGGCAUCUAGGCUCGUCAGAAACCAUGUAUAGACUGAAUUUGUUGCAUUGGAUUUUUUUUUCCAAAUCACUCUGGUAGUUUCUAUAUAGUCUGGUAGUUUUUUUUCCCCUGUUUCCCUCUUAAAUUUGCUCUUUUAAUUACAAAUCUCAAUCUUUUUUCUAUUUAGUUUGGUAGGAUCACCUCCAUAGAUUCAGUGAAAUUGGUGUCUCAGCAUAGUGUGCUGCCAGUAGUGAGUUCAUGCAUCAGCAAUAAUUGUUGCUGGAUGGGUGGAGCUUUGUCUCCCAAGAGUGUGUGCUGGUUUAGAAAAUUUUCAAGGGACGCUCUUCAUGAAAUUCACAAGCUGGCUGCGAAGUACAAUGGGACCAUCAGUGAAAGGGACAAGUAUAUCAGAGGCGUGCUGCUAGCUAUGUCUUAUGAUAUAGCCCACCACAUGAAUUCAUUUGCAGACAAUCUUAUAAAUAUUGCUAGAGACAAAUACAGGUGGGCUAACAUAGAAGAUUUUGGUGUACCCAGAGGUUGAGGGAGAAAUAUGAAUGGAGCUUGCUACAUCUUUUUCGAGUCUUACA